RNAcentral lists this unclassified non-coding RNA (244 nucleotides) under Hevea brasiliensis (rubber tree). Lineage: Eukaryota; Viridiplantae; Streptophyta; Magnoliopsida; Malpighiales; Euphorbiaceae. The record is from RNAcentral.
GAUAAACAGAUUGAUGCUCAAGCUUAAAGGUAUUAGUUCUUUAUUUUCCAUCUUAAGCAGCUGCUCGUUCCAGUGUGUUAAAUUACUCAUUUUGACUUUUUUUUUGGGUGAUGGAGUGAAGUUGGCAUGAGAGCUCAUGAUGUAGCCCUGUAUGGUUAGAAGUAGUAGUUGAAAUUUUUGAUAUACUUGAGCAUUUGAAAUAGUGUGGCAUGAUAUUUGAAAACAAAUGUGUGUUUCAUGGGCC